Molecule: long non-coding RNA, 672 nt
Organism: Asparagus officinalis (garden asparagus)
Lineage: Eukaryota; Viridiplantae; Streptophyta; Magnoliopsida; Asparagales; Asparagaceae
Exons: 2
Source: RefSeq, a predicted model, not a curated record
AGUGCCAUUGUACUGAUGGGAACUCUUUGAUCAUUCUGGUUUGUGUGCUUUUUUCUUUUCAGUAAGAACUCCAAGCCGCAAAUUGAGCACUUCUUCAAGCUCUUCUGAUUGCCUUCUCAUCCGUCAACAAUUGCAGGUCAAGCGUGAUAUUGUGCUGAGAGUGCUUGUGCUUUGGUCUCACCUUUUUCGGUUCUCAUUGUCAUUUGAUAUAGCUUGCUGCUUUGUCGAAUGAUUGUAGCUAAUAUGUAAGGGUUAAUUGCAUAUACUCUCUGUGGUAUCGUUUUUAAAUUGCAACCCCUGUAGUGUACAUUGUUGCAGAUGUGCCCUUGGGUUAAAAUUGUGACUGUUUUACCCUUGGACUUACUAAUUUCUAGCUAAAGUCAAACAAAAGGAUAUUGGAUUCGGUUUGAUGUUAUUUGGGCCUUCUCUGUUCUCUGAGCUUAUUGCCAGAAGUAGAAGGAAUUGUUUUUGUAUGUUGACAAAUGAUUCUUGUGAAGUUUCUUAUUUUUGGUGUUUGCAUUGGUGAGCUGAUAUAUUGUAAAGGUGGUUGUGCUUUGGUCUCACCUUUUUUGUUUCUCAUUGUCACUUGUUGUGGUGUUUGCUUCUAUGGUGAAUGAUUGUGGCUUAUAGUAUACUCCAAUAUAUUGGCAUCUGAUGGUUUGUGGUUUGGUA